This is a long non-coding RNA of Bradysia coprophila, 543 nucleotides long. Lineage: Eukaryota; Metazoa; Arthropoda; Insecta; Diptera; Sciaridae. The record is from RefSeq and is a predicted model, not a curated record.
UAUGCGUUCAAUGGACGCUGCAGGUAUUAUAAAUGAAAAUGCAAUCCUUUUUAAAAUUCGUGUUUUAAUUAUCCAAGAAAAACAAUUUAUUCCGUUUGCAAGAGUUUUUGAGAAGUAAAAAAAUGUAAAUUUUUUCCUGACCUGUGGUGAAUGAGUAACAAAAUUAGGAAAGAGUGGUUCCGUCGGUGUUGUCGGGAGCGAUCCUUCUUGCGAUUGGUGCGUUGCUGCUUUUUCUUAUCGUCAGCGUUUUUGUAUUGUUUGGAUCGCCCCCAUACAAUUCGCAGUGCUGUAUGGGCAUCUUCUUGUGUGAUGAAUUUGUGGCACAAACGGUAUCCAGCUCUCAUUACAUCUAACAAGAACUGGUACACACGUUUAUACUUGCCCAUUAAAGUCGUGCCAGACUUUUCUUUUAGAGUCAAUUCACAUCUAACCUCCAUAGAUACGAACCGACUCAAAUAUUUUGUCAUCGUAACAUUGUGCGUCGAUCGUUUGCUGGGUGUACAGAAAUCCCGCUCAUGCAUGAUCUGUUAAGUGACCAAAAAA